AUUGAACGCUGGCGGCAGGCCUAACACAUGCAAGUCGAACGAGUGGCGGACGGGUGAGUAAUGUCUGGGAAACUGCCUGAUGGAGGGGGAUAACUACUGGAAACGGUAGCUAAUACCGCAUACCAUCAGAUGUGCCCAGAUGGGAUUAGCUAGUUGGUGGGGUAACGGCUCACCAAGGCGACGAUCCCUAGCUGGUCUGAGAGGAUGACCAGCCCAACUGGGACUGGUACAGGGGCAAGACGCCUACGGGAGGCAGCAGUGGGGAAUAUUGCACAAUGGGCGCAAGCCUGAUGCAGCCAUGCGGCGUGUAUGAAGAAGGCCUGCGGGUUGUAAAGUACUUUCAGCGGGGAGGCGUUACCCGCAGAAGAAGCACCGGCUAACUCCGUGCCAGCCGCCGCGGUAAUUC
Molecule: ribosomal RNA, 406 nt
Filed under: uncultured bacterium
Lineage: Bacteria
Description: partial 16S ribosomal RNA
Rfam family: Bacterial small subunit ribosomal RNA
Source: RNAcentral